UAGGGAAUCUUCGGCAAUGGGGGGAACCCUGACCGAGCAACGCCGCGUGAGUGAAGAAGGUUUUCGGAUCGUAAAGCUCUGUUGUUAAGGAAGAACGAGUGUGAGAAUGGAAAGUUCAUGCUGUGACGGUACUUAACCAGAAAGGGACGGCUAACUACGUGCCAGCAGCCGCGGUAAUACGUAGGUCCCGAGCGUUGUCCGGAUUUAUUGGGCGUAAAGCGAGCGCAGGCGGUUAGAUAAGUCUGAAGUUAAAGGCAGUGGCUCAACCAUUGUAGGCUUUGGAAACUGUUUAACUUGAGUGCAGAAGGGGAGAGUGGAAUUCCAUGUGUAGCGGUGAAAUGCGUAGAUAUAUGGCGGAACACCGGUGGCGAAAGCGGCUCUCUGGUCUGUAACUGACGCUGAGGCUCGAAAGCGUGGGGAGCGAACAGG
RNAcentral lists this ribosomal RNA (429 nucleotides) under Bacteroidota bacterium. RNAcentral's name for it is "Bacteroidetes bacterium partial 16S ribosomal RNA". It matches the Rfam family "Bacterial small subunit ribosomal RNA", at positions 355 to 776 of the family's 1533-position model. Lineage: Bacteria; Pseudomonadati; Bacteroidota. The record is from RNAcentral.